AACGCAUAUGGCACCUUUUGGUCUUUACUGAAAGGUAUGCCUGUUUGAGAAUCAUUUAUCCCUUUGAUCCUCGUGGUCGCAGAUUGCUGAUCCCUGGUCAAGACAUGGACCUUCAUCACUGAUCGUCUUGAAUCUAUGCACGGAUUGUUCGUGACAAAGAGGUGCACUUGUUGCGCUGUUGCUGUUGAUCGAUCAAUCCAUCCCUUUACCAAUGAUCUCAAAUCAGGCAAGACUACCCGCUGAACUUAA
Molecule: unclassified non-coding RNA, 249 nt
Filed under: Laccaria sp.
Lineage: Eukaryota; Fungi; Basidiomycota; Agaricomycetes; Agaricales; Hydnangiaceae
Description: partial contains 5.8S ribosomal RNA, internal transcribed spacer 2, and large subunit ribosomal RNA
Source: RNAcentral